GCUUAGGAUCUGGCGGCUUAGGAUCUGGCGGCUGAAGAUGGAAAGGCCCCGGCGGAAACGCCGGGGCCUUUUUCACGCUAGAAUCCACUCAUUUUGUGUCGUCAUCCCGGCCGGAAGCCCGCUU
RNAcentral lists this small RNA (124 nucleotides) under Caulobacter vibrioides NA1000. Its description in RNAcentral is "small non-coding RNA". Lineage: Bacteria; Pseudomonadati; Pseudomonadota; Alphaproteobacteria; Caulobacterales; Caulobacteraceae. The record is from RNAcentral.